This 1095-nucleotide ribosomal RNA is filed under the name Triticum aestivum (bread wheat). Its description in RNAcentral is "partial small subunit ribosomal RNA". The record is from RNAcentral. Lineage: Eukaryota; Viridiplantae; Streptophyta; Magnoliopsida; Poales; Poaceae.
AUGAUGGCGUCGGAGCCGGUGGCGCGGGCCGUGGCGGAGGAGGUGGGGCGGUGGGGCAGCAUGAAGCAGACGGGGGUGAGCCUGCGGUACAUGAUGGAGUUCGGGUCCGUCCCCACGGACCGCAACCUGCUGCUCUCGGCCCAGUUCCUGCAAAAGGAGCUCCCCAUCCGCAUCGCCCGCCGCGCGCUCGAGCUCGAGUCCCUCCCCUUCGGCCUCUCCGCCAAGCCCGCCAUCCUCAAGGUGAGGGACUGGUACUUGGACUCGUUCCGCGACAUCCGAUAUUUCCCAGAAGUGAGGAAUCGGGACGACGAGCUUGCUUUCACGCAGAUGAUUAAGAUGAUCAAAGUGCGGCACAAUAACGUGGUACCGACUAUGGCUUUGGGAGUGCAACAGCUGAAAAACGAACAGUUCAGCUCAAGGAAGCUUCCCCCAGGAUUCGACGAGAUCCACGGGUUCCUCGAUCGAUUUUACAUGUCAAGGAUUGGUAUUCGCAUGCUCAUAGGGCAGCAUGUGGCUCUGCAUGAACCUGAACCACAGCCUGGCGUCAUAGGCCUCAUCAAUACAAAAUUGUCCCCCAUACAGGUAGCUCAAAUUGCUAGUGAGGAUGCCCGUUCCAUUUGUAUGAGGGAAUACGGAUCAGCUCCUGACAUCAACAUUUAUGGAGAUCAAAAUUUAACAUUUCCAUAUGUCACAUCGCAUCUUCAUCUCAUGCUGUUUGAACUGGUGAAAAAUUCCCUUCGUGCAGUACAGGAAAGAUAUAUGAAUUCUGAUAAAGAUGUUCCUCCUGUCAGAAUUAUAGUUGCUGAUGGAACAGAGGAUGUUACUAUUAAGGUCAGUGAUGAAGGCGGUGGAAUACGGAGAAGUGGGCUCCCUAGAAUUUUCACAUAUCUUUACAGCACUGCAAAGAAUCUACCUGAUAUGGAGGGCCCUAGUGAAGGAGUGACUAUGGCUGGAUAUGGUUUUGGACUUCCAGUUAGUCGCCUUUAUGCGCGAUAUUUCGGUGGCGACCUACAAAUCAUAUCCAUGGAGGGAUACGGCACCGACGCUUACCUCCACUUGUCACGACUGGGAGACUCGGAGGAGCCAUUGCCUUAG